RNAcentral lists this ribosomal RNA (279 nucleotides) under uncultured bacterium. RNAcentral's name for it is "partial 16S ribosomal RNA". It matches the Rfam family "Bacterial small subunit ribosomal RNA", at positions 506 to 784 of the family's 1533-position model. The record is from RNAcentral.
UGCCAGCCGCCGCGGUAAGACGGAGGGUGCAAACGUUGUUCGGAAUCACUGGGCAUAAAGAGCACGUAGGCGGCCUGCUCAGUCAGGUGUGAAAUCCCCCGGCUCAACCGGGGAAUUGCAUCUGAUACUGGCGGGCUCGAGGACGGUAGGGGUGAGUGGAACUCCAGGUGGAGCGGUGAAAUGCGUAGAUAUCUGGAGGAACACCGGUGGCGAAAGCGGCUCACUGGACCGUCUCUGACGCUGAGGUGCGAAAGCUAGGGUAGCGAACGGGAUUAGAUA